Gavialis gangeticus (Gharial) is the source of this 382-nucleotide long non-coding RNA. RefSeq lists it as uncharacterized. The transcript has 2 exons. The record is from RefSeq and is a predicted model, not a curated record. NCBI's taxonomy places the organism in Eukaryota, Metazoa, Chordata, Crocodylia, Gavialidae.
CUAGCAGUCAGGAGAACAUCAUCUGACUGAAGCUGCUGCUCCUGACAUUUUGGAGGAUGCAGCAUUGGAAAGAAGCUCAUAGGCAUAUUGUGGAAACAACAUCCCAUCCUGUGGAAAGACUUAUAGAAGAAUAGCUGACUGGGGUCUGCAAGGCCUACUGGGAAAAGCACAAGCCAGAAUAAUAGGAUGUUGUCCUGUGGAAAACAUCCUAUCAGGUCAUGGCAUUACCUGCUAUCUGCAAAAAAGAAAAUAAACUUAAAAGUUUCACCAGCUACAAGAAGUUUGGAAAUUCAUAAGUUUAGACAUUGACUGUGAAACUAAAAUGAAUAAUUACAUGCAAAAAAAUUAGUAGAGCUAAGCCUGGAGAAUUGAGAAAUGUGUA